Molecule: ribosomal RNA, 243 nt
Filed under: uncultured Peptostreptococcus sp.
Lineage: Bacteria; Bacillati; Bacillota; Clostridia; Peptostreptococcales; Peptostreptococcaceae
Description: partial 16S ribosomal RNA
Rfam family: Bacterial small subunit ribosomal RNA
Source: RNAcentral
AACGCGUGGGUAACCUGCCCUAUACACAUGGAUAACAUACUGAAAAGUUUACUAAUACAUGAUAAUAUAUAUUUUGGCAUCGCAGAUAUAUCAAAGUGUUAGCGGUAUAGGAUGGACCCGCGUCUGAUUAGCUAGUUGGUGAGAUAACUGCCCACCAAGGCGACGAUCAGUAGCCGACCUGAGAGGGUGAUCGGCCACAUUGGAACUGAGACACGGUCCAAACUCCUACGGGAGGCAGCAGGC